RNAcentral lists this ribosomal RNA (894 nucleotides) under Calonectria candelabrum. Its description in RNAcentral is "LSU rRNA". It matches the Rfam family "Eukaryotic large subunit ribosomal RNA", at positions 36 to 962 of the family's 3401-position model. The record is from RNAcentral. Lineage: Eukaryota; Fungi; Ascomycota; Sordariomycetes; Hypocreales; Nectriaceae.
UAGCAUAUCAAUAAGCGGAGGAAAAGAAACCAACAGGGAUUGCCCUAGUAACGGCGAGUGAAGCGGCAACAGCUCAAAUUUGAAAUCUGGCCCUCGGGUCCGAGUUGUAAUUUGUAGAGGAUGCUUUUGGUGAGGUGCCUUCCGAGUUCCCUGGAACGGGACGCCAUAGAGGGUGAGAGCCCCGUCUGGUUGGACACCGAGCCUCUGUAAAGCUCCUUCGACGAGUCGAGUAGUUUGGGAAUGCUGCUCUAAAUGGGAGGUAUAUGUCUUCUAAAGCUAAAUACCGGCCAGAGACCGAUAGCGCACAAGUAGAGUGAUCGAAAGAUGAAAAGCACUUUGAAAAGAGAGUUAAAAAGUACGUGAAAUUGUUGAAAGGGAAGCGCUUAUGACCAGACUUGGGCUUGGUUGAUCAUCCUGGGUUCUCCCUGGUGCACUCUUCCAGUUCAGGCCAGCAUCAGUUCGCUGCGGGGGAUAAAAGUUUUGGGAAUGUGGCUCCUCCGGGAGUGUUAUAGCCCAUUUCAUAAUACCCUGCUCCGGACUGAGGUUCGCGCAUCUGCAAGGAUGCUGGCGUAAUGGUCAUCAGCGACCCGUCUUGAAACACGGACCAAGGAGUCGUCUUCGUAUGCGAGUGUUCGGGUGUUAAACCCCUACGCGUAAUGAAAGUGAACGCAGGUGAGAGCUUCGGCGCAUCAUCGACCGAUCCUGAUGUUCUCGGAUGGAUUUGAGUAAGAGCAUACGGGGCCGGACCCGAAAGAAGGUGAACUAUGCCUGUAUAGGGUGAAGCCAGAGGAAACUCUGGUGGAGGCUCGCAGCGGUUCUGACGUGCAAAUCGAUCGUCAAAUAUGGGCAUGGGGGCGAAAGACUAAUCGAACCUUCUAGUAGCUGGUUUCCGCG